This 478-nucleotide ribosomal RNA is filed under the name uncultured bacterium. RNAcentral's name for it is "partial 16S ribosomal RNA". It matches the Rfam family "Bacterial small subunit ribosomal RNA", at positions 28 to 523 of the family's 1533-position model. The record is from RNAcentral.
GACGAACGCUGGCGGCGUGCUUAACACAUGCAAGUCGAACGGUAAGGCCCUUCGGGGUACACGAGUGGCGAACGGGUGAGUAACACGUGGGUGAUCUGCCCUGCACUUCGGGAUAAGCCUGGGAAGCUGGGUCUAAUACCGGAUAGGACCACUGCCUGCAUGGGUGGUGGUGGAAGGCUUUUGCGGUGUGGGAUGGGCCCGCGGCCUAUCAGCUUGUUGGUGGGGUGAUGGCCUACCAAGGCGACGACGGGUAGCCGGCCUGAGAGGGUGACCGGCCACACUGGGACUGAGAUACGGCCCAGACUCCUACGGGAGGCAGCAGUGGGGAAUAUUGCACAAUGGGCGCAAGCCUGAUGCAGCGACGCCGCGUGAGGGAUGACGGCCUUCGGGUUGUAAACCUCUUUCAGCACCGACGAAGCGCAAGUGACGGUAGGUGCAGAAGAAGGACCGGCCAACUACGUGCCAGCCGCCGCCGUAA